Molecule: non-coding RNA, 143 nt
Organism: Gossypium raimondii (Peruvian cotton)
Lineage: Eukaryota; Viridiplantae; Streptophyta; Magnoliopsida; Malvales; Malvaceae
Source: Rfam
UAUUAAAAUUUCUAUCCAUUUCUACAGUUAAAAACUGACGUGAUUAUCAGAAUAACUAAAUAGUUACAUAUGACGUGCUACCUAUACCUCAUGCUCGUACAUGGACCGAUUUUUAAUAGUAGAAAUUAAUGGAAUUUUUAACA